Molecule: ribosomal RNA, 317 nt
Filed under: uncultured eukaryote
Lineage: Eukaryota
Description: partial 18S ribosomal RNA
Rfam family: Eukaryotic small subunit ribosomal RNA
Source: RNAcentral
CCCCUUAGAUGUUCUGGGCCGCACGCGUGCUACACUGACCGGCGCAACAAGUUUCUUUCCUUGGCUCGAUAGGCCUGGGUAAUCUUUGAACGCCGGUCGUGAUGGGGAUAGAUCCUUGCAAUUUUUGAUCUUCAACGAGGAAUUCCUAGUAAAUGCGAGUCAUCAUCUCGCGUUGAUUACGUCCCUGCCCUUUGUACACACCGCCCGUCGCACCUACCGAUUGAAUGGUCCGGUGAAGCCUCGGGAUUGCGAAUGCUUCGUGCGGACGCGAGAACUUGGCUAAACCUUACCAUUUAGAGGAAGGUGAAGUCGUAACA